CCCUUAGAUGUUCUGGGCGGCCCGCGCACUACAAUGGCGUGUGCAGCGAGUGCCGAAGUAGAGUUUUCCGAGGUAUUCUUGCAAUGCUCGUUUUGAUGGGGAUAGACCCUUGCAACUGUUGGUUUUGAACGAGGAAUUCCUUGUAAGCAUGGUUUAUCAUCCGACGCUGAAUGCGUCCCUGCCCUUUGUACACACCGCCCGUCGCUCCUACCGAUGAGUCGUCCGGUGAAGUUCGUAGACCUCGUGAUUGUGGAUCACUGGGGGAAGCAAAAUGAACCUCGCGGUUUAGAGGAAGGAGAAGUCGUAACA
RNAcentral lists this ribosomal RNA (309 nucleotides) under uncultured eukaryote. RNAcentral's name for it is "partial 18S ribosomal RNA". It matches the Rfam family "Eukaryotic small subunit ribosomal RNA", at positions 1470 to 1796 of the family's 1831-position model. The record is from RNAcentral.